GUCCGUAUAGUGUAGUGGUUUAUCACGCUUGUCUUACACACAAGAGGUCCCAGGUUCGAUCCCUGGUGUGGACA
RNAcentral lists this transfer RNA (74 nucleotides) under Metarhizium anisopliae. RNAcentral describes it as "tRNA-Val". It matches the Rfam family "tRNA". From Rfam's summary of the family: Transfer RNA (tRNA) molecules are approximately 80 nucleotides in length. Their secondary structure includes four short double-helical elements and three loops (D, anti-codon, and T loops). Further hydrogen bonds mediate the characteristic L-shaped molecular structure. tRNAs have two regions of fundamental functional importance: the anti-codon, which is responsible for specific mRNA codon recognition, and the 3' end, to which the tRNAs corresponding amino acid is attached (by aminoacyl-tRNA synthetases). tRNAs cope with the degeneracy of the genetic code in two manners: having more than one tRNA (with a specific anti-codon) for a particular amino acid; and 'wobble' base-pairing, i.e. permitting non-standard base-pairing at the 3rd anti-codon position. RNAcentral also lists the same sequence under 3 other names. The record is from RNAcentral. Lineage: Eukaryota; Fungi; Ascomycota; Sordariomycetes; Hypocreales; Clavicipitaceae.